Molecule: long non-coding RNA, 577 nt
Organism: Ipomoea nil (Japanese morning glory)
Lineage: Eukaryota; Viridiplantae; Streptophyta; Magnoliopsida; Solanales; Convolvulaceae
Exons: 3
Source: RefSeq, a predicted model, not a curated record
GUUACCUAAACCCCGGCAGAAAUUGUAAUUUGACUUCUUGGGAACCUGGUUGUGAGCCACGAUGCGCUUCUCCAGAAGUGUACCAAAACUGAAUUGCAAAAGGAUGGAAGGUAGGUUGAAUCUGAGAAGAAAAGCGCUGUGUAUUUGGUGUUGACGUGCCCGAACCGCAAAUUCCCAAAUGGUGGAUCUGGUUUUACUAUCUAAUGCCUACAUCUUGGUCCCUAAACGGCAUGCUUUCUUCGCAAUAUGGCGAUAUAGAGAAGGAUAUCGAGAUUUUUGGAGAAAAGAAAACAUAGGCAACCUUUUUUGAGGGAUUAUUUUGGAUAUCACCAUGAUCAAUUACCCAUUGUGGCUGUAGUGCUGAUUCUGUUCCCUCUUCGUUUUGCCUGUUUAUUCACACUUUGCCCUUAGAAGUUGAACUUUCAAAGGAGGUGAUAGAAAUUGAAAUAUCUGGCUGGUUUAUGUUUGUGCAGAAAAACAUGUUAAAUAUUCACUUUUACUAUAAUGUUUUGAGAGAAUAUUGUAUUUUCAAUGGGUAGAUAUGAGGAUAUCAUACAUAUUUGUAGAUUUCUUAUGA